Molecule: ribosomal RNA, 617 nt
Filed under: fungal sp. F476
Lineage: Eukaryota; Fungi
Description: eukaryotic LSU rRNA
Rfam family: Eukaryotic large subunit ribosomal RNA (bases 123-617)
Source: RNAcentral
UCAGCCCCGCAGGCCCUGAAAUGAAGUGGCGGUCCCGCCGCGGCGCCCCCUGCGUAGUAAGUCUUUGCACCUCGCAUCGGGUCCCGGCGUAGGCCAGCCGUCGAACCUAUCUCUUGAUGGUUUGACCUCGGAUCAGGUAGGGUUACCCGCUGAACUUAAGCAUAUCAAUAAGCGGAGGAAAAGAAACCAACAGGGAUUGCCCCAGUAACGGCGAGUGAAGCGGCAACAGCUCAAAUUUGAAAUCUGGCCCCCCCGCGGGGUCCGAGUUGUAAUUUGAAGAGGAUGCUUCUGGCGAGGCGCCGUCCGAGUUCCCUGGAACGGGACGCCGCAGAGGGUGAGAGCCCCGUACGGUCGGACGCCGAGCCUAUGUGAAGCUCCUUCGACGAGUCGAGUAGUUUGGGAAUGCUGCUCAAAAUGGGAGGUAAACCCCUUCUAAAGCUAAAUACCGGCCAGAGACCGAUAGCGCACAAGUAGAGUGAUCGAAAGAUGAAAAGCACUUUGAAAAGAGAGUUAAAAAGCACGUGAAAUUGUUGAAAGGGAAGCGCUUGCGACCAGACUCGCGCCCGUCGGAUCAGCCGUCGCUCGUCGGCGGCGCACUCCGGCGGGCUCGGGCCAGC